Molecule: non-coding RNA, 483 nt
Organism: Anolis sagrei ordinatus
Lineage: Eukaryota; Metazoa; Chordata; Lepidosauria; Squamata; Anolidae
Source: RefSeq, a predicted model, not a curated record
AACAAGCAACAAUAAACAGUGUUUAAUAGAGGCCAGCCAAUCCAGUCAGGCAAAAAGAGAAUAGCUGGGGUAGCGUCUAUCAUUCUGACUGAAUGGCCAGUAACAUUCAAAUUGUAGCCAUUCCUUCACAAGGGUAUUUGCAGCAGCUUUAUACUCAGCUCCAUUAGAACAAUUAUAAUUCUCUGUGUAACAAGAUCACAUACUGAAAUUCAAUGAGUUUGUCUCUGAACUCAUUCAGCCUUAUAAGAAGGUCAUACUUUGGCACAUUGAGAACACUAGAGGCCGGCAUUCAAAGAUUUGGCUAUUUGAAGGUGCUUUGAGAAUAACUGCACACAAUACAGCAUGGCAACACAUGCUCUCAGGACAUAUGAAGCAGAUGGAGGAUAAUCUGCAUUAUGGUGUCACAGGAACAGCAGCAUAAGGCUACCAGAAAUCUGAAAUUGGAUGAAGACUUGCAGCAGAGGUCCUAUUUCUGAAUGUCGU